Molecule: long non-coding RNA, 521 nt
Organism: Mercurialis annua (annual mercury)
Lineage: Eukaryota; Viridiplantae; Streptophyta; Magnoliopsida; Malpighiales; Euphorbiaceae
Exons: 2
Source: RefSeq, a predicted model, not a curated record
UUCUUUCAAAAUUUCACAAAAAUUCCUUAACAAAAAACGUAGCAAAUUUCGCGUAGAUCGUUAAUCUACCAUUGCAUGUAGGAUCAAGGAAUAUUGCCUGUGUUUGGACGAGACUUCAUCUUUUUGAUUCUUGAAGUCUUCGUUUUGCGUAUAUGGUAAUUGGUCUUAUUUUGAUCUGUAGAGCUGCAGUAGAAUAGAUAGACAGACGCCUUAGCAUGUCAGUAUUUGCGAUGUUUGCCACGCAUGAACUCUGUUUUGUUUUCAUCGCACGAUUAUAAUAUAUUUUAACGACAUGCAUUAAGGUAUUGGAAAAUAGUUGCAAUCCGGGUACACGGUAGUACCGGAAGUUUUGAGAUACAGUGUAAAGAAAACUGUACGCAACUAUGUUAUGUGUAUAAUGUGGGGCCCAGCGUGGCUAUAUGCAUGAUUGCAUGUUAUCGGUUUUGUAAAAGACGGUAUUCGAGGAAUACGCGUUAAAACGAUAACUAGUAAUUGAAAAGUAACGGUUUUAAUUUAAUGAA